UUUGUGUAAUGUCUCAUGUCCUUUUUUUGCCCCUAUUUUUUUCCUUUAGGUUGUGCGGCCCAGGACUUGGCCAUACCAGGUAUAUAUGUUAUUGUUAAGGUCUUUGUGUAAGUUUCAUGUCCUUUUUUUGCCCCUAUUUUUUUCCUUUAGGUUGUACAGCCCAGGACUUGGCCAUACCAGGUAUAUAUGUUAUUGUUAAGGUCUUUGUGUAUUUCUCAUGUCUUUUUUUGCCCCUUUUUUUUUUCCUUUAGGUUGUGCAGCCCAGGACUUGGCCAUACCAGGUAUAUAUGUUAUUGUUAAGGUCUUUGUGUAAUGUCUCAUGUCCUUUUUUUGCCCCUAUUUUUUUUCCUUUAGGUUGUGCGGCCCAGGACUUGGCCAUACCAGGUAUAUAUGUUAUUGUUAAGGUCUUUGUGUAAGUUUCAUGUCCUUUUUUUGCCCCUAUUUUUUUCCUUUAGGUUGUACAGCCCAGGACUUGGCCAUACCAGGUAUAUAUGUUAUUGUUAAGGUCUUUGUGUAUUUCUGUCUUUUUUUGCCCCUUUUUUUUUCCUUUAGGUUGUGCAGCCCAGGACUUGGCCAUACCAGGUAUAUAUGUUAUUGUUAAGGUCUUUGUGUAAUGUCUCAUGUCCUUUUUUUGCCCCUAUUUUUUUCCUUUAGGUUGUGCGGCCCAGGACUUGGCCAUACCAGGUAUAUGUGUUAUUGUUAAGGUCUUUGUGUAAGUUUCAUGUCAUUUUUUUGCCCCUAUUUUUUUCCUUUAGGUUGUACAGCCCAGGACUUGGCCAUACGAGGUAUAUAUGUUAUUGUUAAGGUCUUUGUGUGUGUUUCAUGUCUUUUAUUUGCCCCUUUUCUUUUCCUUUAGGUUGUGCAGCCCAGGACUUGGCCAUACCAG
RNAcentral lists this long non-coding RNA (886 nucleotides) under Mytilus galloprovincialis (Mediterranean mussel). The record is from RNAcentral. Lineage: Eukaryota; Metazoa; Mollusca; Bivalvia; Mytilida; Mytilidae.